Molecule: ribosomal RNA, 312 nt
Filed under: Triticum aestivum (bread wheat)
Lineage: Eukaryota; Viridiplantae; Streptophyta; Magnoliopsida; Poales; Poaceae
Description: partial small subunit ribosomal RNA
Source: RNAcentral
AUGCACAAGCAGUAUUCCCGCUUAGUACAGGUCAAGGCUAGCAAAAGACUGGGAAGUGACCAACUAGAGAGCGACAACAACCAUGUACAUGCAUUAAAAUUAAUAAACAUUGGAUGCAAGCAUGAGAAGGAUAUAAUCCAUCAUGAACAUAAAUAUCAUGAAGCCUAUGUUGAUUUUGUUUCAACUACAUGCGUGAACAUGUGCCAAGUCAAGUCACUUAAAUCAUUCAAAGGAGGAUACCACCCCAUCAUACCACAUCAUAAUCAUCUCAAUAGCAUGUCAGCAUACAAGGUAAAUCAUUAUAACUCAUAG